UACGUAGGGUGCAAGCGUUGUCCGGAAUUAUUGGGCGUAAAGAGCUCGUAGGCGGCUCGUCACGUCGGCUGUGAAGACCCGGGGCUCAACCCCGGGCCUGCAGUCGAUACGGGCGAGCUAGAGUUCGGCAGGGGAGACUGGAAUUCCUGGUGUAGCGGUGAAAUGCGCAGAUAUCAGGAGGAACACCGAUUGCGAAGGCAGCUCGCUGGAACGUUACUGACGCUGAGACGCGAAAGCGUGGGGAGCAAACAGG
Molecule: ribosomal RNA, 253 nt
Filed under: uncultured bacterium
Lineage: Bacteria
Description: partial 16S ribosomal RNA
Rfam family: Bacterial small subunit ribosomal RNA
Source: RNAcentral